GACGAACGCUGGCGGCGCGCUUAACACAUGCAAGUCGAACGGAAAGGCCUGCUUUCCCUUGUGGAUUGCGGGUACUCGAGUGGCGAACGGGUGAGUAACACGUGAGUGAUCUGCCCCCAACUUGGGUAUAAGCCUGGGAAACUGGGUCUAAUUCCCGAUAGGACUGCAGGGUGGUGCCUGUGGUGAAAAACGAUUUUCUAGUGGUUGGGGAUGAGCUCGCGGCCUAUCAGCUUGUUGGUGGGGUAAUGGCCUACCAAGGCGGCGACGGGUAGCCGGCCUGAGAGGGUGGACGGCCACAUUGGGACUGAGAUACGGCCCAGACUCCUACGGGAGGCAGCAGUGGGGAAUAGUGCACAAUGGGCGGAAGCCUGAUGCAGCGACGCCGCGUGGGGGAUGACGGCCUUCGGGUUGUAAACUCCUUUCGACCGCGAGGAAGCCACCUGGUUGGAAGGGUGGUGACGGUAGUGGUAGAAGAAGCACCGGCUAACUACGUG
Molecule: ribosomal RNA, 494 nt
Filed under: uncultured bacterium
Lineage: Bacteria
Description: partial 16S ribosomal RNA
Rfam family: Bacterial small subunit ribosomal RNA
Source: RNAcentral